AUUGAACGCUGGCGGCAUGCCUUACACAUGCAAGUCGAACGGUAACGGGCCUUCGGGUGCCGACGAGUGGCGAACGGGUGAGUAAUACAUCGGAACGUGCCCGAUCGUGGGGGAUAACGAGGCGAAGGCUUUGCUAAUACCGCAUACGAUCUACGGAUGAAAGCAGGGGACCGCAAGGCCUUGCGCGGACGGAGCGGCCGAUGGCAGAUUAGGUAGUUGGUGGGAUAAAAGCUUACCAAGCCGACGAUCUGUAGCUGGUCUGAGAGGAUGAUCAGCCACACUGGGACUGAGACACGGCCCAGACUCCUACGGGAGGCAGCAGUGGGGAAUUUUGGACAAAGGGCGCAAGCCUGAUCCAGCCAUGCCGCGUGCAGGAUGAAGGCCUUCGGGUUGUAAACUGCUUUUGUACGGAACGAAAAGCCUUCUUUUAAUACAGGAGGGUCAUGACGGUACCGUAAGAAUAAGCACCGGCUAACUACGUG
RNAcentral lists this ribosomal RNA (482 nucleotides) under uncultured bacterium. RNAcentral describes it as "partial 16S ribosomal RNA". It matches the Rfam family "Bacterial small subunit ribosomal RNA", at positions 30 to 507 of the family's 1533-position model. The record is from RNAcentral.